This 504-nucleotide long non-coding RNA is filed under the name Cricetulus griseus (Chinese hamster). Its description in RNAcentral is "lncRNA (ENSCGRG00015034156.1)". The record is from RNAcentral. Lineage: Eukaryota; Metazoa; Chordata; Mammalia; Rodentia; Cricetidae.
GUCUUCUAAUGUUGAUUUGAGCUGCCUCCGUCACAGUUUCGCUAUGUGGCCCUGGCUGUCCUGAAAGUCUAUCUGAAAGACCAGCCUAAUCUUGAACUCAGAGAUCUACCAAGAUCUACCAGCCUUUGCCUCCCAAAGGCCGGGAUUAAAGUCAUGAGCCACCAUGCCUGGAUGAAACCGGAUUUUCCAAAGCAAAGAUACAGCAUCUCCAACAAGUAAUACAUAUUUAUCGUGAGGUAGAUGCUGUGGCUUCAAUGGCCUCAGACGAAACAUGGUGCAUUUUAGUCCCUCCUGUAACUGGUAGAAGCAAGAACAGAGGAGGCUGAUGGGAGGAGGAGAUAAUAGUCAAAGAAGCAGACAGAUCACCCAGGGGCUAAUGAAGUCAUGGGCUGAUGGGUAAUCCCCACCUGGGAGACUGCGAGGACUCAAAAGGUAAAAGGGCUUACCACCAAGCCUGACAACGUGAGUUCAAUCCCUGGGUCCCACGUGGUGGAAGCAGAGAAC